This 480-nucleotide ribosomal RNA is filed under the name uncultured bacterium. RNAcentral's name for it is "bacterial SSU rRNA". It matches the Rfam family "Bacterial small subunit ribosomal RNA", at positions 8 to 485 of the family's 1533-position model. The record is from RNAcentral.
AGAGUUUGAUCCUGGCUCAGAUUGAACGCUGGCGGCAUGCCUUACACAUGCAAGUCGAACGGUAGCGGGCCUUCGGGUGCCGACGAGUGGCGAACGGGUGAGUAAUGUAUCGGAACGUACCUUUCAGUGGGGGAUAACGUAGCGAAAGUUACGCUAAUACCGCAUAUUCUGUGAGCAGGAAAGCAGGGGAUCGCAAGACCUUGCGCUGAUUGAGCGGCCGAUAUCAGAUUAGCUAGUUGGUGAGGUAAAGGCUCACCAAGGCGACGAUCUGUAGCGGGUCUGAGAGGAUGAUCCGCCACACUGGAACUGAGACACGGUCCAGACUCCUACGGGAGGCAGCAGUGGGGAAUUUUGGACAAUGGGGGCAACGCUGAUCCAGCCAUGCCGCGUGAGUGAAGAAGGCCUUCGGGUUGUAAAGCUCUUUCGGCCGGGAAGAAAUCGCAUGGGUUAAUACCCUGUGCGGAUGACGGUACCGGCAUA